CGCGUCGGAUCUGUUGCCGCUGGUCCGCCCAGCUGACCCGUCGCCAAACCACGUCACCGUCUGUGAAGCUGUCUCCGUCGCCGCUGCCGGAGGUUGUUGCUGAGCCACUGAAGCUCCUGGCCGCUGUCGGAGCUACUGCCGGUUAAGUUUGGGGUGGCUGGCGCGUCGUUCUUUUAUUCCAGAGUUAAUAACCGGGGUUACAUGUUGGGACUUAAAGAUGUUUAUGCUGUGGCAAAAGUGUGCGGGCUAUGAAUUGAAGCUGCCGUUGACUUCGGGUCGAGAGGAAAGGAAUUUCUUGAGUCAUUUGGAUUGUGGUUUGAACGUGUCGAGAUAGGGGCGUUUUCUUAAAUUUAUUUUACUUUAAAGAAU
Arachis ipaensis is the source of this 369-nucleotide non-coding RNA. Lineage: Eukaryota; Viridiplantae; Streptophyta; Magnoliopsida; Fabales; Fabaceae. The record is from RefSeq and is a predicted model, not a curated record.